GGUGUUAUACAUAAGGUGAAAAAGCAUACCAAACAGGUAUAAAUAGAACACACUAAAUUAAUCCAUGCAUUAACUUUCCAAUACACUAUACCAAACGAGCCUUAAUUGUAGGAGAAUCCCUGACCACAUACAAGACUGCUUGCUUCCACUCCUCGAUAUCUUUAUCAAAUUCCUGUUUGUUGAGCUCAAUGACCUUCUCCCCAUUCUUCAUAACCGGAGCUACAUAAUUGAGACUCAUUUCCUUAGCUGACAUUCCAUUGGAACCAAAGAAAUUGACCCAUUUCUUUGUCGGCUCUGAAUCGAGAUCUAACUUCCUCUGAGCAUGUUUGGAUGUUUCCUCUUCCAUCUCAUCUAGUUCUGUCAGCGACGCUACUGGACCCUUAGGCCCUAUUGUCAUCACCAGUGGCACUACACCAGUAGAUUUAGGGGUUACUUCUUUCAAAGGCGGUCAUUGCUCCAUAGGGACUUUACCAUUCGUCGUAUUUGACCUUGCAGUACUCUUCCCGACACCUGAUUUGGCUUUGCAGUCUCAAUCCCCUUCGUGUGUGGUCUUCCCUGUGCCAUUUUCCGAUCAAGGUGCGGACGUUAGCUAGUCACGCUAACAUGCAUCGAGGGCUUUUGAAAAUCUAUGCAUUUUCACGGAUUGAUAAUUAUAUAUAGAGAAAGAAAAGAAAAAAACUUAGACUAGUCUUUGAUGAGAACAAUUUAAAGUUCUUUUGGUUUAAAACGAUUAACAAUUUCUAAAGUAAAAACUAUCAUAUUUAUUCCUCCACUAUUGAAAAAGAUUUAAUAUAAUUCUCGAUUACAUUAUCA
This 813-nucleotide long non-coding RNA is filed under the name Capsicum annuum. Its description in RNAcentral is "long non-coding RNA (CANN_LNC017740)". Lineage: Eukaryota; Viridiplantae; Streptophyta; Magnoliopsida; Solanales; Solanaceae. The record is from RNAcentral.